CAGUCGCCACGGUAAUACGUAGGGUGCAAGCGUUAAUCGGAAUUACUGGGCGUAAAGCGUGCGCAGGCGGUUAUAUAAGACAGAUGUGAAAUCCCCGGGCUCAACCUGGGAACUGCAUUUGUGACUGUAUAGCUAGAGUACGGCAGAGGGGGAUGGAAUUCCGCGUGUAGCAGUGAAAUGCGUAGAUAUGUGGGGGAAUACCGAUGGCGAAGGCAGCCCCCCGGGAUAACACUGACGCUCAUGCACGAAAGCGUGGGGAGCAAACAGGAUUAGAUACCCCGGUAGUCCCUGUCUCUUAUAC
This 301-nucleotide ribosomal RNA is filed under the name uncultured bacterium. Its description in RNAcentral is "partial 16S ribosomal RNA". It matches the Rfam family "Bacterial small subunit ribosomal RNA", at positions 509 to 807 of the family's 1533-position model. The record is from RNAcentral.